UGCAGCCAGAACACACCUUGUUGAAGUUCGUCGCGGGCUUUGUCUUGGGCAGGAUGACGGUGAUCUUCGCGGACAUCGCG
RNAcentral lists this non-coding RNA (80 nucleotides) under uncultured Pelagophyceae. Lineage: Eukaryota; Pelagophyceae. The record is from RNAcentral.